GCAUAUCAAUAAGCGGAGGAAAAGAAACCAACAGGGAUUGCCUCAGUAACGGCGAGUGAAGCGGCAAGAGCUCAAAUUUGAAAGCUGGCCCCCUCGGGGUCCGCGUUGUAAUUUGCAGAGGAUGCUUCGGGUGCAGCCCCCGUCUAAGUGCCCUGGAACGGGCCGUCAUAGAGGGUGAGAAUCCCGUCUGGGACGGGGUGUCUGCGUCCGUGUGAAGCUCCUUCGACGAGUCGAGUUGUUUGGGAAUGCAGCUCUAAAUGGGUGGUAAAUUUCAUCUAAAGCUAAAUACUGGCCGGAGACCGAUAGCGCACAAGUAGAGUGAUCGAAAGAUGAAAAGCACUUUGAAAAGAGAGUUAAACAGCACGUGAAAUUGUUGAAAGGGAAGCGUUUGCGACCAGACUCGCCCGCGGGGUUCAGCCGGCAUUCGUGCCGGUGUACUUCCCCGUGGGCGGGCCAGCGUCGGUUUGGGCGGCCGGUCAAAGGCCCUCGGAAUGUAUCACCUCUCGGGGUGUCUUAUAGCCGAGGGUGCAAUGCGGCCUGCCCGGACCGAGGAACGCGCUUCGGCUCGGACGCUGGCGUAAUGGUCGCAAAUGACCCGUCUUGAAACACGGACCAAGGAGUCUAACAUCUACGCGAGUGUUCGGGUGUCAAACCCGUACGCGCAGUGAAAGCGAACGGAGGUGGGAGCCCCCUCGCGGGGCGCACCAUCGACCGAUCCUGAUGUCUUCGGAUGGAUUUGAGUACGAGCGUAGCUGUGGGGACCCGAAAGAUGGUGAACUAUGCCUGAAUAGGGCGAAGCCAGAGGAAACUCUGGUGGAGGCUCGCAGCGGUUCUGACGUGCAAAUCGAUCGUCAAAUUUGGGUAUAGGGGCGAAAGACUAAUCGAACCAUCUAGUAGCUGGUUCCUGCCGAAG
This 913-nucleotide ribosomal RNA is filed under the name Aspergillus fischeri. Its description in RNAcentral is "LSU rRNA". It matches the Rfam family "Eukaryotic large subunit ribosomal RNA", at positions 38 to 966 of the family's 3401-position model. The record is from RNAcentral. Lineage: Eukaryota; Fungi; Ascomycota; Eurotiomycetes; Eurotiales; Aspergillaceae. RNAcentral also lists the same sequence under 1 other name.